UCUAUAUGAUGAUUUAAACCAAAGGUUUCGCAAUUUUGACUGAUUACAGUUGAGGAAUUUACUCUUGGCAGUCUGAUAGA
Molecule: small nucleolar RNA, 80 nt
Organism: Diorhabda sublineata
Lineage: Eukaryota; Metazoa; Arthropoda; Insecta; Coleoptera; Chrysomelidae
Product: small nucleolar RNA SNORD53/SNORD92
Exons: 1
Source: RefSeq, a predicted model, not a curated record